UACAGAUUAUGACUGUACGCCUCUAAGUCAGAAUCCCGCCUAAACGUAACGAUACCGCAGCGCCACGGAUCUCCGGUUGGCCAGGGAUAGCCGGCCGCAAGGCCGGCGAGGAGCGCCGCUCGUCACUGGGUCGGAGCGCGGACGGAAGGGGGCCGCCUCUCUCCAGCAGUGCACCGCACGUUCGUGGGGAACCGGGUGCUAAAUCAUUCGUAGACGAC
Protopterus annectens (West African lungfish) is the source of this 218-nucleotide long non-coding RNA. RefSeq lists it as uncharacterized. The record is from RefSeq and is a predicted model, not a curated record. The transcript has 3 exons. Lineage: Eukaryota; Metazoa; Chordata; Ceratodontiformes; Protopteridae.